CGCCAGACUCCUACGGGAGGCAGCAGUGGGGAAUAUUGCGCAAUGGGCGAAAGCCUGACCCAGCAACGCCGCGUGAAGGAAGAAGGCUUUCGGGUUGUAAACUUCUUUUCUGAGGGACGAAGGAAGUGACGGUACCUCAGGAAUAAGCCACGGCUAACUACGUGCCAGCAGCCGCGGUAAUACGUAGGGGGCAAGCGUUAUCCGGAUUUACUGGGUGUAAAGGGGGCGCAGACGGCGAUGCAAGCCAGGAGUGAAAGUCCGGGGCCCAACCCCGGGACUGCUCUUGGAACUGCGUGGCUAGAGUGCAGGAGGGGCAGGCGGAAUUCCUGGUGUAGCGGUGAAAUGCGUAGAUAUCAGGAGGAACACCGGUGGCGAAGGCGGCCUGCUGGACUGCAACUGACGUUGAGGCCCGAAAGCGUGGGGAGCAAACAGGAUUAGAUACCCUGGUA
RNAcentral lists this ribosomal RNA (449 nucleotides) under uncultured bacterium. RNAcentral's name for it is "partial 16S ribosomal RNA". It matches the Rfam family "Bacterial small subunit ribosomal RNA", at positions 329 to 792 of the family's 1533-position model. The record is from RNAcentral.